CCGGCAAAACCGAGACCACCAAGGACCUGGCGAAAGCCUUGGGCUUGCUCUGUGUUGUCACCAACUGUGGCGAAGGCAUGGAUUACAGGCCGUGGGGAAGAUUUUCUCUGGCCUGGCACAGUGCGGGGCUUGGGGCUGCUUUGAUGAGUUUAAUCGAAUCGAUGCUUCUGUGCUCUCCGUGAUCUCCUCCCAGAUCCAGACGAUCCGAAAUGCUCUGAUCCAUCAGUUAACCACGUUCCAGUUGAAGGGCAGGAGAUUUCCCUGGACUCCCGCAUGGGCAUCUUCAUCACCAUGAACCCCGG
RNAcentral lists this long non-coding RNA (302 nucleotides) under Homo sapiens (human). RNAcentral describes it as "long non-coding RNA NONHSAT031608.2". Lineage: Eukaryota; Metazoa; Chordata; Mammalia; Primates; Hominidae. The record is from RNAcentral.